CAACUUUUAUCAAUGGAUCUCUUGGUUCUCGCAUCGAUGAAGAAAGUAGCAAACUGCGAUAAGUAGUGUGAAUUGCAUUUAGUGAAUCAUCGAAUCUUUGAACGCACCUUGCACUCACUGGUAUUCCGGUGAGUACGCCUGUUUCUGUAUCAUUGAA
RNAcentral lists this ribosomal RNA (157 nucleotides) under Apophysomyces variabilis. Its description in RNAcentral is "5.8S ribosomal RNA". It matches the Rfam family "5.8S ribosomal RNA". From Rfam's summary of the family: 5.8S ribosomal RNA (5.8S rRNA) is a component of the large subunit of the eukaryotic ribosome. Lineage: Eukaryota; Fungi; Mucoromycota; Mucoromycetes; Mucorales; Mucoraceae. The record is from RNAcentral.